UGGGGAAUAUUGCACAAUGAGCGAAAAGCUUGAUGCAGCAAUACCGCGUGAGGGAUGAAGGUUUUAGAAUUGUAAACCUCUUUUUUCGGGGAAGAAUAUUUGACGGUACCCGCGGAAUAAGCAUCGGCUAAUUCUGUGCCAGCAGCCGCGGUAAUACAGGAGAUGCAAGCGUUAUCCGGAAUUAUUGGGCGUAAAGAGUGCGUAGGAUGCUGUGCGUGUCUGGUAUAAAAUUUCAAAGCUUAACUUUGA
Molecule: ribosomal RNA, 249 nt
Filed under: uncultured organism
Description: partial 16S ribosomal RNA
Rfam family: Bacterial small subunit ribosomal RNA
Source: RNAcentral